RNAcentral lists this transfer RNA (77 nucleotides) under Bifidobacterium callitrichidarum. RNAcentral's name for it is "tRNA-Leu". It matches the Rfam family "tRNA". Rfam says of the family: Transfer RNA (tRNA) molecules are approximately 80 nucleotides in length. Lineage: Bacteria; Bacillati; Actinomycetota; Actinomycetes; Bifidobacteriales; Bifidobacteriaceae. The record is from RNAcentral.
GCUCUUGUAGCCCAACCGGUAGAGGCGCGACUCCCAAAAAGUCGAUAGUGGUGGUCCGAAUCCACUCAGGAGCACUA